CAGUUCGGAUUGCAGGCUGCAACCCGCCUGCAUGAAGCCGGAAUCGCUAGUAAUCGCGGAUCAGAAUGCCGCGGUGAAUACGUUCCCGGGUCUUGUACACACCGCCCGUCACACCAUGGGAGUCGAUAACGCCCGAAGUCAGUGACCCAACCGAGAGGAGGGAGCUGCCGAAGGCGGGAUUGAUAACUGGGGUGAAGUCGUAACAAGGUAAC
Molecule: ribosomal RNA, 212 nt
Filed under: uncultured bacterium
Lineage: Bacteria
Description: partial 16S ribosomal RNA
Rfam family: Bacterial small subunit ribosomal RNA
Source: RNAcentral